RNAcentral lists this unclassified non-coding RNA (211 nucleotides) under Hevea brasiliensis (rubber tree). The record is from RNAcentral. Lineage: Eukaryota; Viridiplantae; Streptophyta; Magnoliopsida; Malpighiales; Euphorbiaceae.
UCCAGGUGGUGGACUAUUGCUAUAUUCGCACUUGGAUUGAGAUUAGCUGCUACCCAUUGGACCAUUUAUUGUGAGCCGUAUGAGAAAUUUUGUUUCAAAAUAUUCUUUGUUGCUGUUGAAGUUGGGUUAGAAAUUUUUCCAGCUGAUUUUAUGUUCUAAAAAGAGAAAUUGCAGCUGUGAAGAGAUAAAAAUCAAGAUAAACGCAAGGCAG